This is a long non-coding RNA of Leptinotarsa decemlineata (Colorado potato beetle), 324 nucleotides long. Lineage: Eukaryota; Metazoa; Arthropoda; Insecta; Coleoptera; Chrysomelidae. The record is from RefSeq and is a predicted model, not a curated record.
GAAAAUUACGACAUUAUUAACAUCAAUGCGCCAAUUUUGUAAAAAAUUUUCAUCAAUAUUCUAUUUUCAAUUGUAAAACUCAGAGAAUUUCGUCCUAACGAAGUCUUUAUUCAGAGACGAAAGCUUGGCGAUUUGUGAAAUAGAGUAAGUUGGUUUUUUGAACGUGUUCGACUGAAAGUCCCGUCAGUCUCUACCUUCCAGCUUCCAGAAAACAAUUUCUGUGCAAAAAGAAAACAUAGGAUAUUAGUACUUGUAAUACUAUGUGUAUUAUUUGUAAUGCCGAACAUAUUUUAAGAAUUAUAUGGCUCGGUAAACAACAUUGAA